RNAcentral lists this long non-coding RNA (1802 nucleotides) under Daphnia magna. Its description in RNAcentral is "uncharacterized LOC123473968, transcript variant X3". Lineage: Eukaryota; Metazoa; Arthropoda; Branchiopoda; Diplostraca; Daphniidae. The record is from RNAcentral.
GAUCCAUGUUUUUUAUAGACAACUCUUAUCGCUAGCUGAUCGUUUAUGUAGCAAAUAAAUAGCUAACUAGCUUUGCCAUCUAACGGUAAAAAAUGACACUAAUAGAAGAGAUUUAAAUAGACCACGCCUUCAACGAAGGAGGAGCACUACAUAUUGAAUUUAUCGAUCGAUUGUUAGGCCCAUUUUGAUCGCCACUGUACAGUCAAUGGCGGCAUGGCGGUGACGUGUAUUGUAAGUUUGUAACUUGGAAGUGUAUGCAUGUGUGACUUGAUGUGGCGUUGCAUGUGGGAGGCCCCGUUGGUAAUACUCUGAGUGAUGGUGACAUAUGGUAUCUUACUGACUUCUAUUGGUUUUAUUUGUGGAAAGAAUAUCUUGCGUGGGAGAAUUGGAUCACAAUUGACUAAAUGUAGAAUAAUCGCAAUGUCGUGGUAGUAGUUCACCAGAGAUAUGCCAAUAGGGUUCCCCUAUUGAAAUACUGAUACAGGCCUGUUUUCAAUUUGUAAUGGAUUCGAAGAGGAUAUUGAUGGAGUUUUGGUAUAAAAAAGUAUAAGUACAUGUUCAUUGGAAGGGCAACCAAAGAGUUCCGGAUCCUUUUGCUAUCGCACAAUAUCAUGUGUGUGUAAAACUAAAGACUAAAAGAAGAAGAAGAAGAAUGAUUCAAAAAUUCAGGGAGAGAAUCAUCAAAGAAUUAUACUUCUUUAGAACUUUUUUGGUCGAGACGUUAUGGGUGUCUUAAAGGCACUGAAGGUUGCGUUAGAUGUCAUAAUCCACACAAAAAAAGGAAACGCUGAAAAUCCCAGGUGGCGAUGGGAAUUAGUGGCAAUGUUACGGUGUAGAUAAAUUCAGAAAGUGUGACGCUAGCUGAUGUAAACCGCGCCAGCUGUGCUAUUACUGACUCUGUCUCACUUUGGCCGCCUAGGAAAAGGUUGUGAGAGUAGCAGAAGAAGAGGAAAUUGCAGUAAACCCGGUUUUGAAAGAAGCCAAACAUUCCGAUGAUAUGGGAGCCCAACCUGUGGAAACAAAAACCCUAUGUUUCAGAUAGAAAGCCACGGCCACGCUACUGCCUAUUCGCAUUGUUGGUGUUAAGUGAGAUUGCCGAACUUGUAGCUAUUGUGUAGAACCGAGCUCUGAUCAGACACAACCAAACUGGAAUGAUCUCGUCACCUACGCCCGCUUAACACAGCGUGUGUGCCAUAAUGUCAAUUGUGUUUACUAAAUAUUCGGAAAGGCUGUGCGUGAAUCGGUGACAGACGUUUCACCUACCUACUUAACGAGUAACAUUUUGGCGAUCUUGAGGAAAGCGGAUUAUUUUUCAAAUAAAAUAUUAUGGGAUUCGGGUUGCAAAAAAAAGCUAGCACAGAUGCCAAUCGGCUUGAUCCCUUCCACUUUGAUUGUGAUUCGAGUCAACGCACUCCAUCAUUCCAGUGAUCAGUCGUUUUUUGAUCAUUCUUUUCUCAGGAUUUUAUGACUGGACUUCCUGCAAUUCCUAAUAUCCAUUUGCCCCAAGAGGUUGUAGCCAAGAUGGUUGAAGCCGUCUUAACUGUUUCAGGAAUUUUCAGGGUCUUGUAUGAUCUAACGGCUAAACCACCCUGGAAAACGGAGUUGAUUUGAUUUAAGAACGUUGCUUAUGCAAAUAAUCUCCGCCACUCUUUACAGGACACGGAAGCGGAAUUGUAUCACUGACCAGAUUUAGAUGGGAUAUAUCAUAAUAGUGGAUUCAGUAUAGACUUUUGAAAUUGAAAAAUUAGUCAGCUCUGUCGUCUCGUGAAAAUCUAUUAAACUCGCUUCUUAGGAAAAAUUCA